CAAAAAUUAAUAAAAAAAAAUCUGCCAUCCAAAAGUAUGUUUUCCCUUACCUGUGAGGAGAUCCUUGCUACUUACAACGUGACAAAUAUGACUUCUGACAAUUCAGAAUCAUCAGAAAGUAAAGGAGACAAAGCCUUUAGGUCUUAUAAAUUUCAGAUCUAUCAAAGUAAAUUAAACUAUUAUACAAUAGUGAAUAAAGACAUUAUAGAGAAUUUUUGAAAGUGAUGAAAAAGAUAUUCAGUCAGAAAGUGGAAGACAGGAAUUGUAGGGCUGGACAGAAUGAUUAAGUUGAAUUGUUGUGUAGGUCAGAACAAUUUUUAACGAAGCUAAGGUAAAGAAACAAACUACAUGAAGCCCAGUGGUGAAAGCACUGAGAGAAAAAAAGGAUGAAAUUACACCAAAGCUCGCCAAAAAACAAAUAAGGUCAAAACUAACAGUUACAGUGAUAAACUUGUCAAAUAAAUAGUAUUAUUAUUAUUAAUAAAAUAAUAAUAUUUUAUUAUUUAUUUAUUAUUUAUUAUUUAUUUUUAUUAUUUUUUUCUUAUAACUAAAUCUCAAAGCUUUCACAAACAGACUCUUAAAUUUACCUAUACCAGGUACUUUAUAUUGUGUCUUGAAUAAUCUCCACUGAGCUUACUGUGCUCUGACUUGAGUCAAGGUCUUUGUUAUAGAUGUUGUGAUUUAUGAAAUAUCCGUACUACCUAUUGGUCUUUGAAAUAUGGUUACAUUAACCUACACUUGAAUUUCUCCAAACUCUGCACCUUUCCUUUCCAUUAUUAUAAAACAAACUUAUGCUUUAAGUUUAUGAUAUUUAUGAACAUCUUUUUUGAAUUGAAUGCAUUUUUUUACCUUUUUCCAGAAAUUUCAAAAUAUUUCUAGCCAAAGUCUGGUGGACGCCAUCAAUGACUGUUACGAUGGCUACUUCCAGGAGCUGCUGGUUGCAAUUGUCUCAACGGAUACCACAGGGACAUCUGUUGGGGAGGCUCCAGGCUAUUUAAAUCCACGUUCACUGUGACCAGGAGAAAGCAAGCUAUUUUGCGUAUAAAUGAUACAGGGCAAGCCAUAAUUUUGCUUCAUUGCCCUAUGAGAAAGCACUGGUUGCCAUACGUGCUGGUGAUGUGGAAGACUACUAAAAUAAAUAAAGAAUGGGAGGCCUUACAGGUCUUGCAACCCUCUUUAUAGUCAUCUCAGGUACAGACUGUGGAACCUGCGCUGUUAUUGACACUGAAAUACAACUGUAGAAUCAUAUUUUUUUAUUGAUAAAAUUAUUAGGAGAAAAACAUCUAAUGUUAAAAAUAUGUAAUCUUGCUUUUGCACCCCUCCCUCAAUUGGUAAUUAAUUAAAUUGUGUGUGGUGGAAUAAGAAAA
Molecule: non-coding RNA, 1367 nt
Organism: Myodes glareolus (Bank vole)
Lineage: Eukaryota; Metazoa; Chordata; Mammalia; Rodentia; Cricetidae
Source: RefSeq, a predicted model, not a curated record